AUUUCGUGCAAGAGGAAAAAUUUUUAUCUCGUUUGACGAUCGAAAAUUGCUCCGGUGCAGCGGCGAGUGGCGGCGGUAGGUUCCCCGGUGGCUUGAUUAUCUUCUCCAGCGAUGGGCUCUAGCAGCUAGGGCUAGAGCUUGGGUACGAAUGGGGUUAUUUAUACCUAUUCGCUUUUAAUCUGGACCGUCCAUCACUUUUGAUAUGGACCAUCCAUCGUUUUUAAUCUGAACCGUCCGAUCGCGAUUAAAUAGGGAGUGAAUUUACGUCAUUCAUCGCGAUUCAAUCUGAAUCGUCCGUGCGCGAUACAAUCUGGGCUGUCUGUGCGCAUUUUAAAUCUGGGUCGUCCGUACGCGCGGGUACGGAUCUCAGCUGUUCGAUCGCGCGCACCCAGAUCGCCCACGUGGUUCCCCCCGC
Molecule: long non-coding RNA, 415 nt
Filed under: Carica papaya (papaya)
Lineage: Eukaryota; Viridiplantae; Streptophyta; Magnoliopsida; Brassicales; Caricaceae
Description: long non-coding RNA (CPAP_LNC005525)
Source: RNAcentral